GAUGAAGAACGUAGCGAAAUGCGAUAAGUAAUGUGAAUUGCAGAAUUCAGUGAAUCAUCGAAUCUUUGAACGCACAUUGCGCCCCCUGGUAUUCCGGGGGGCAUGCCUGUCCGAGCGUCAUUACAACCCUCAAGCUCAGCUUGGUGUUGGGCCCCGCCGCCCCGGCGGGCCCUAAAGUCAGUGGCGGUGCCGUCCGGCUCCGAGCGUAGUAAUUCUUCUCGCUCUGGAGGUCCGGUCGUGUGCUCGCCAGCAACCCCCAAUUUUUUUCAGGUUGACCUCGGAUCACGUAGGGAUACCCGCUGAACUUAAGCAUAUCAAUAAGCGGAGGA
RNAcentral lists this unclassified non-coding RNA (329 nucleotides) under soil metagenome. RNAcentral's name for it is "partial contains 5.8S ribosomal RNA, internal transcribed spacer 2, and large subunit ribosomal RNA". The stretch from base 1 to 120 matches the Rfam family "5.8S ribosomal RNA", at positions 35 to 154 of the family's 154-position model. The record is from RNAcentral.